Molecule: ribosomal RNA, 481 nt
Filed under: uncultured bacterium
Lineage: Bacteria
Description: bacterial SSU rRNA
Rfam family: Bacterial small subunit ribosomal RNA
Source: RNAcentral
AGAGUUGAUCAUGGCUCAGGAUGAACGCUGGCGGCGUGCCUAACACAUGCAGGUCGAGCGAUUACUUCGGUAAAGAGCGGCGGACGGGUGAGUAACGCGUGGGUAACCUGCCUCAUACACAUGGAUAACAUACCGAAAGGUAUGCUAAUACAGGAUAAUAUAAGAGAUUCACAUGGAUUUCUUAUCAAAGCUCCGGCGGUAUGAGAUGGACCCGCGUCUGAUUAGCUAGUUGGUAAGGUAAUGGCUUACCAAGGCGACGAUCAGUAGCCGACCUGAGAGGGUGAUCGGCCACAUUGGAACUGAGACACGGUCCAAACUCCUACGGGAGGCAGCAGUGGGGAAUAUUGCACAAUGGGCGAAAGCCUGAUGCAGCAACGCCGCGUGAGUGAUGAAGGCCUUCGGGUCGUAAAACUCUGUCCUCAAGGAAGAUAAUGACGGUACUUGAGGAGGAAGCCCCGGCUAACUACGUGCCAGCCGCGGC